Molecule: small nuclear RNA, 23 nt
Filed under: Arabidopsis thaliana (thale cress)
Lineage: Eukaryota; Viridiplantae; Streptophyta; Magnoliopsida; Brassicales; Brassicaceae
Description: snRNA_11613
Source: RNAcentral
CGAUUUCAUAGUGAUUAAAAAGG